RNAcentral lists this small nucleolar RNA (130 nucleotides) under Castor canadensis (American beaver). RNAcentral describes it as "Small nucleolar RNA SNORA11 (ENSCCNG00000027838.1)". It matches the Rfam family "Small nucleolar RNA SNORA11". From Rfam's summary of the family: U107 (SNORA11) is a member of the H/ACA class of snoRNAs that guide the sites of modification of uridines to pseudouridines. Lineage: Eukaryota; Metazoa; Chordata; Mammalia; Rodentia; Castoridae. The record is from Rfam by way of RNAcentral.
AGGGCAAGCUCAGAGCAGGGGCCUGAAGAGUGGCUCCUCUUUAUAACACACUCAAUAGGAACCUGGACACAUUGUGAGGAUGGGCACAAAAUGUAUUUAUUGCCUUUCUAUAAACAAGUGCCCUACAUGU